RNAcentral lists this ribosomal RNA (326 nucleotides) under Achelia hoekii. Its description in RNAcentral is "partial 12S ribosomal RNA". The record is from RNAcentral. Lineage: Eukaryota; Metazoa; Arthropoda; Pycnogonida; Pantopoda; Ammotheidae.
AAUAGUUAUGAUCUUGAACNUUAAAGAAUUUGGCGGUAAAUUAAUUUGUCUAGAGGAAUUUGUUAUGUAAUAGAUAUUACACUUUUAAUCUUACCUUAUUUAAAUGGUUUGUAUACCGCCGUUUAGAAUAUUUUUAUUGAAAUAAUUUUCUUUAAACUAUAGUUAUUAAAUCAGGUUAAGGUGCAGCUUUUAAUAAGGGUUUAAAUGAAUUACAUUUUUUGGAAAAAAGUAAUAUGAAUAAUUUUCUGUAAGGGGUUUUUGAAGGAGGAUUUAGAAGUAAAUUUAUAAUUAGUAAGUAAUUUUGAAUAAUUAAUACUAAUUUAUGU